UUUUAUUUUAAAAAACUAUAUGGAUACGUACAAAAGAGAAGCAUGUGUUGAUCAGAACAGAUUUUUAAUGAGCACGUUUUUAAAACAUGGGCUACUAUACUACACAUCUGCAUUUAGGAUAUCAAUAAUCAAACAGAUCAUCUCACAAUAUGCAGCUGGGUCUAUACUGCUCCUACAUGGUGUAACAUCAUGUAGAUGUAUAUAAUGAACAGACUAGGUCUAUACUGCUCCUGCAUGGUGUAACAAUACAUCAUGUAGAUGUAUAUAAUGAACAGACUAGGUCUAUACUGCUCCUACAUGGUGUAACAAUACAUCAUGUAGAUGUAUAUAAUGAACAGACUAGGUCUAUACUGCUCCUAUAUGGUGUAACAAUACAUCAUGUAGAUGUAUAUAAUGAACAGACUAGGGCUAUACUGCUCCUAUAUGGUGUAACAUUAUGUAGAUGUAUAUAAUGAACAGACUAGGUCUAUACUGCUCCUAUAUGGUGUAACAAUACAUCAUAUAUAUAAUGAACAGACUAGGUCUAUACUGCUCCUAUAUGGUGUAACAAUACAUCAUAUAUAUAAUGAACAGACUAGGUCUAUACUGCUCCUAUAUGGUGUAACAAUACAUCAUGUAUAUGUAUAUAAUGAACAGACUAGGUCUAUACUGCUCCUACAUGGUGUAACAAUACAUCAUGUAUAUGUAUAUAAUGAACAGACUAGGUCUAUACUGCUCCUACAUGGUGUAACAAUACAUCAUGUAGAUGUAUAUAAUGAACAGACUAGGUCUAUACUGCUCCUACAUGGUGUAACAUCAUGUAGAUGUAUAUAAUGAACAGACUAGGUCUAUACUGCUCCUACAUGGUGUAACAAUACAUCAUGUAGAUGUAUAUAAUGAACAGACUAGGUCUAUACUGCUCCUACAUGGUGUAACAAUACAUCAUGUAGAUGUAUAUAAUGAACAGACUAGGUCUAUACUGCU
Long non-coding RNA from Oncorhynchus keta (chum salmon), 963 nucleotides. RefSeq lists it as uncharacterized. The record is from RefSeq and is a predicted model, not a curated record. The transcript has 3 exons. NCBI's taxonomy places the organism in Eukaryota, Metazoa, Chordata, Actinopteri, Salmoniformes, Salmonidae.